GAUGAAGAACGUAGCGAAAUGCGAUAAGUAAUGUGAAUUGCAGAAUUCAGUGAAUCAUCGAAUCUUUGAACGCACAUUGCGCCCUCUGGUAUUCCGGGGGGCAUGCCUGUUCGAGCGUCAUUAUAACCACUCAAGCUCUCGCUUGGUAUUGGGGUUCGCGGUUUCGCGGCCCCUAAAAUCAGUGGCGGUGCCUGUCGGCUCUACGCGUAGUAAUACUUCUCGCGAUUGAGUUCGAUAGGUCUACUUGCCAGUAACCCCCAUUUUUUACAGGUUGACCUCGGAUCAGGUAGGGAUACCCGCUGAACUUAAGCAUAUCAAUAAGCGGAGGA
RNAcentral lists this unclassified non-coding RNA (329 nucleotides) under soil metagenome. RNAcentral's name for it is "partial contains 5.8S ribosomal RNA, internal transcribed spacer 2, and large subunit ribosomal RNA". The stretch from base 1 to 120 matches the Rfam family "5.8S ribosomal RNA", at positions 35 to 154 of the family's 154-position model. The record is from RNAcentral.